Molecule: ribosomal RNA, 1466 nt
Filed under: uncultured organism
Description: SSU rRNA
Rfam family: Bacterial small subunit ribosomal RNA
Source: RNAcentral
ACGCUCGGCGGCGUGCCUAAUACAUGCAAGUAGAACGCUGAAGAGAGGAGCUUGCUCUUCUUGGAUGAGUUGCGAACGGGUGAGUAACGCGUAGGUAACCUGCCUUGUAGCGGGGGAUAACUAUUGGAAACGAUAGCUAAUACCGCAUAACAAUGGAUGACCCAUGUCAUUUAUUUGAAAGGGGCAAAUGCUCCACUACAAGAUGGACCUGCGUUGUAUUAGCUAGUAGGUGAGGUAACGGCUCACCUAGGCGACGAUACAUAGCCGACCUGAGAGGGUGAUCGGCCACACUGGGACUGAGACACGGCCCAGACUCCUACGGGAGGCAGCAGUAGGGAAUCUUCGGCAAUGGGGGCAACCCUGACCGAGCAACGCCGCGUGAGUGAAGAAGGUUUUCGGAUCGUAAAGCUCUGUUGUAAGUCAAGAACGAGUGUGAGAGUGGAAAGUUCACACUGUGACGGUAGCUUACCAGAAAGGGACGGCUAACUACGUGCCAGCAGCCGCGGUAAUACGUAGGUCCCGAGCGUUGUCCGGAUUUAUUGGGCGUAAAGCGAGCGCAGGCGGUUUGAUAAGUCUGAAGUUAAAGGCUGUGGCUCAACCAUAGUUCGCUUUGGAAACUGUCAAACUUGAGUGCAGAAGGGGAGAGUGGAAUUCCAUGUGUAGCGGUGAAAUGCGUAGAUAUAUGGAGGAACACCGGUGGCGAAAGCGGCUCUCUGGUCUGUAACUGACGCUGAGGUUCGAAAGCGUGGGGAGCGAACAGGAUUAGAUACCCUGGUAGUCCACGCCGUAAACGAUGAGUGCUAGGUGUUGGAUCCUUUCCGGGAUUCAGUGCCGCAGCUAACGCAUUAAGCACUCCGCCUGGGGAGUACGACCGCAAGGUUGAAACUCAAAGGAAUUGACGGGGGCCCGCACAAGCGGUGGAGCAUGUGGUUUAAUUCGAAGCAACGCGAAGAACCUUACCAGGUCUUGACAUCCCGAUGCUAUUUCUAGAGAUAGAAAGUUACUUCGGUACAUCGGUGACAGGUGGUGCAUGGUUGUCGUCAGCUCGUGUCGUGAGAUGUUGGGUUAAGUCCCGCAACGAGCGCAACCCCUAUUGUUAGUUGCCAUCAUUCAGUUGGGCACUCUAGCGAGACUGCCGGUAAUAAACCGGAGGAAGGUGGGGAUGACGUCAAAUCAUCAUGCCCCUUAUGACCUGGGCUACACACGUGCUACAAUGGUUGGUACAACGAGUUGCGAGUCGGUGACGGCAAGCUAAUCUCUUAAAGCCAAUCUCAGUUCGGAUUGUAGGCUGCAACUCGCCUACAUGAAGUCGGAAUCGCUAGUAAUCGCGGAUCAGCACGCCGCGGUGAAUACGUUCCCGGGCCUUGUACACACCGCCCGUCACACCACGAGAGUUUGUAACACCCGAAGUCGGUGAGGUAACCUUUUGGAGCCAGCCGCCUAAGGUGGGAUAGAUGAUUGGGGUG